Molecule: long non-coding RNA, 1090 nt
Organism: Sinocyclocheilus anshuiensis
Lineage: Eukaryota; Metazoa; Chordata; Actinopteri; Cypriniformes; Cyprinidae
Source: Ensembl
CAGAUGCAAACUAAAGCGCCCCACCGAUGCGCGUGCCGCUGAGCACAUGGAGGAGAGAGGACGCACACUUAGCAGCCUGGCUAAUGUAGCCUGUGGGUCGCAAAAUAUUGGCAAAUGAAGAACAUUUCAGAUCUGGAAAGUGGACUGACUUGCUUAAAGCGUCCUACAUGGAUGAGAGAAAAAUAUUGAGGAUGUGAGCAGUCCCUUCACCUUUUAAGAGUUAUCUUCAAAAUGGAGCUAGUUCUUUUUCCUAAGUUUCAGUCUCAGAUGAAAUUAAGUUAUACAAGUCUGGAACAAUUCCAUUUUUGGUUGAACCAGGGACGCGGGAAGUAGGGGUGCUGAGGGGGCUGCAGCACCCCGUUUUCACAUGGUUGCCAAUGCAACGCCAGCCUAAUCCUCAUGAACCCGUGACGCUAGCCCCCCCCCCAACAUGGACACACACAGCACCCCCAACCGAAAGCAUCUUCCCGCGCCCCUGGGUUGAACUGUCAGAGGAGGGGAAUUUUGCAACUCAUUGUCAAACCAUUCUUUAUUUCAUCCUUGACCUUAACUGUUCUAAAUUGAGGUCAGUCAUUUAAAGCCAGUUGCCCACUUACCAACUUGAGAUAGAGUGAUAAUGGUAGGGGAUCUCACACCUUUUUGCAGCCGAAGUCUCACCACCUACUUUUGAGGGUUUGUCACACUGCUUGUUUACAAAUAGAGAAGUGAUGAAUUAAACUUAUGCCUAUAGCAUUUCUCACUGGUUAUGUGCCAUGUAUUGCAACAUCUUUGGCAGCAAAUAAUGAAGCUUGUUAUAAAAACUGGAGGAACGUAAACCAUAACCAUGAACAACAAUCAGUCUUUGUUAAGCUAUAUUUACACUAUACACUAUAUUUGUUUGGUCGUGUAUAAUAUGUCUGCUCAGUUCUUCAGUGUGAACUGGAGGUGAGAAGGAGCUUAUUAGUCACUGCCAAGGUGCUUCAGUACCAACCACACAGAAAUUCCUAACCUUUUGUGUUCUUAUUGGCUGAAAAAAGUUAGUAGGGCCAUUAACUGUUGAGUUAAGAUGGUUAACAUCCACCCGCUGCAGACAGUUCUGAGCACCACCUGC